Molecule: ribosomal RNA, 199 nt
Filed under: uncultured bacterium
Lineage: Bacteria
Description: partial 16S ribosomal RNA
Rfam family: Bacterial small subunit ribosomal RNA
Source: RNAcentral
ACGCUCGACACCUACGGAGGCAGCAGUCGGGAAUAUUGCGCAAUGGAGGAAACUCUGACGCAGUGACGCCGCGUGCAGGAAGAAGGUUUUCGGAUUGUAAACUGCUUUAGACAGGGAAGAAAGAAAUGACAGUACCUGUAGAAUAAGCUCCGGCUAACUACGUGCCANAGCCGCGGUAAUCUGAGCGGGCUGGCAAGGC